ACAUCAUUCCUUGGCGUGUUGGGAGUCUUUCAAACCAGACAUUUCUUUGCUGCAUUUUCUCAUACAAUUUGCGUGCAAAACACUCCCCAACGCAACGCGUAAAAUCCAUUACAAACUUAGAAAAAAAGCUUCAAACUCGUAUAUUUAUAUAUGACUAAUGGAUGUAUAGAGGCUUUGGAUUUGGAUCAUUCAAGCUCUUGUUUUGAAAGACAAAUUUUUUCAUGAUGCCUAUUAUGUCAAAUUCUUCAGGGUCUUACAAACUAUAGAGUUUGGUUACAGUGCUUUAUCGUUAUCGGCUUUGCACUCCCAAUCGGUCUCAGCCUCAGCAGCAACACCAACUCCGCCACCGUGAUGCUUGGUUGUCGAAAUUCAGUUAUGGGGAUCAUUCUAUGCAUCGUGGUUUGAGGUCGAUGAUCACUGCUGCCAAUAGUCGAAUCAGCAGCACACCGGCUACCACUGAUAUGGUAACAAAGCAUGACAACAACAAUGUUCAACCGUCAGUGCCACCUCCUCCUAGUAAACCCGGCUUCCCAACCUGGUGUUGAGCAGGAUGGCGGUGUCACCUAGAUGUUUGUUUGCAAGAUGCUUUAUUUUGUUUUGUAGUUUAUCUCUUUUGUAUAUGUCGGCUUGAGAAGCCUUUUGUUUAAGAUGUAACAUGUACUUUAUUUUAUUUGUAUUCAAGUUGUAAUACCAUGAAAAGAUGUAUGACAUUUUAUUUGAUCUAUGCACAGCUCUUAUGGACUAUUAGUUUUAAAUUUAAU
Molecule: non-coding RNA, 761 nt
Organism: Camellia sinensis
Lineage: Eukaryota; Viridiplantae; Streptophyta; Magnoliopsida; Ericales; Theaceae
Source: RefSeq, a predicted model, not a curated record